Molecule: transfer RNA, 71 nt
Filed under: Candidatus Ventrenecus avicola
Lineage: Bacteria
Description: tRNA-Met
Rfam family: tRNA (bases 5-60)
About the family: Transfer RNA (tRNA) molecules are approximately 80 nucleotides in length. Their secondary structure includes four short double-helical elements and three loops (D, anti-codon, and T loops). Further hydrogen bonds mediate the characteristic L-shaped molecular structure. tRNAs have two regions of fundamental functional importance: the anti-codon, which is responsible for specific mRNA codon recognition, and the 3' end, to which the tRNAs corresponding amino acid is attached (by aminoacyl-tRNA synthetases). tRNAs cope with the degeneracy of the genetic code in two manners: having more than one tRNA (with a specific anti-codon) for a particular amino acid; and 'wobble' base-pairing, i.e. permitting non-standard base-pairing at the 3rd anti-codon position.
Source: RNAcentral
CGGGGUGGUGUAACGGCAGCACAUUAGGCUCAUAACCUGAAGGUUCAGUUCGAUUCUGGCGACCGCAACCA